This 474-nucleotide long non-coding RNA is filed under the name Rattus norvegicus (Norway rat). Lineage: Eukaryota; Metazoa; Chordata; Mammalia; Rodentia; Muridae. The record is from RNAcentral.
GGACUUUAACAACUGCUGUGCUUUCUAGGUUGGGAAGUUAGGGUGGAAGAUUGCCAGCAGCCAUGGCCUCCCAUGAGGGUGUCCCUUUCAAGUUUGAGAACGCACUGGGGGACUGCAGAUGGUGUUGACAGCAGCUGAGGUGAGUUGGUCUGUACAGUGAUUAGCUGUCAUUACUCUGAAACAAAGAUAUCAAAUGAUGAUAUCACCUUAAAUAGCUGGAAUUACCGGCAGAUUGCUAGUGGUGAGCCUAUGGUUUUCUGAAGAUAUCUCUAAAUGUUGAGAAUGCUAUUAGUCCAUGUAGGAGUGAUUCUGAAAUUGAGUUGUUUUUGCAGGCUACAUUCCCAGGAGUCUCCAGCCAUCACCCCAAAAGCAAGGUGUGGGUCAGCCAACUUUUGUUCUGGACAGGCACGGUUGGUGGUCCUGUCUCCCACAGGAUCUUCUGUACCAUUUAAUAAAGUUUUGUUUAUAAGACUG